RNAcentral lists this ribosomal RNA (839 nucleotides) under Suillus grevillei. RNAcentral describes it as "eukaryotic LSU rRNA". It matches the Rfam family "Eukaryotic large subunit ribosomal RNA", at positions 63 to 875 of the family's 3401-position model. Lineage: Eukaryota; Fungi; Basidiomycota; Agaricomycetes; Boletales; Suillaceae. The record is from RNAcentral.
AACUAACAAGGAUUCCCCUAGUAACUGCGAGUGAACCGGGAAAAGCUCAAAUUUUGAAUCUGGCGGUCUUUAURGCCGUCCGAGUUGUAAUCUAGAGAAGCGUCUUCCGCGCUGGACCGUGUAUAAGUUUCCUGGAAUGGAACGUCGUAGAGGGUGAGAAUCCCGUCUUUGACACGGACUGCCAGGGCUAUGUGAUGCGCUCUCGACGAGUCGAGUUGUUUGGGAAUGCAGCUCAAAUAGGGUGGUAAAUUCCAUCUAAAGCUAAAUAUAGGCGAGAGACCGAUAGCGAACAAGUACCGUGAGGGAAAGAUGAAAAGAACUUUGGAAAGAGAGUUAAACAGUACGUGAAAUUGCUGAAAGGGAAACGCUUGAUGUCAGUCGCGUUCGUCGGGGAUCAGCCUUGCUCUUUUGCUCGGCGUACUUCCUGGCGAACGGGUCAGCAUCAGUUUUGUUCGUCGGAAAAUGGCUCGAGAAAUGUGGCACUCUUCGGGGUGUGUUAUAGACUCGGGUCGAAUACGACGUCCGGGACUGAGGAACUCAGCACGACCUUCGGGUUCGGGGCUUAGGCCCACGUUAACGUGCUUAGGAUGCUGGCAUAAUGGCCUUAAGCGACCCGUCUUGAAACACGGACCAAGGAGUCUAACUCGCAUGCGAGUGUUUGGGCGAUUAAAACCCGAGCGCGUAAUGAAAGUGAAAGUCGAGACCCCUGUCGUGGGGGGCAUCGACGCCCGGACCAGAGCUUCUGCGACGGAUCUGCGGUAGAGCAUGCGUGUUGGGACCCGAAAGAUGGUGAACUAUGCCUGAAUAGGGUGAAGCCAGAGGAAACUCUGGUGGAGGCU